Xiphophorus couchianus (Monterrey platyfish) is the source of this 465-nucleotide long non-coding RNA. RefSeq lists it as uncharacterized. Lineage: Eukaryota; Metazoa; Chordata; Actinopteri; Cyprinodontiformes; Poeciliidae. The transcript has 3 exons. The record is from RefSeq and is a predicted model, not a curated record.
UAUUUUGAAUCCUAUUAAUAUGUCCAUGUUGUCUUCACUUGAGCUGCUGUUCAUUCACGCGUCGGCUGUUUAUUCUGCAGGCUGAGGCUCAAAUGUUCUGCACCUGAAACGCAAAGGUUCGUCCUGGUCGCGUCCCUCAGUUCUGUUCUGGCCCCGCCGCCAUCUUUAAUCUUGUAUCAACGGAUCGCUUCAAGAUGACGAGCGGCGCCCUCUGCUGGAUGGCGGCCAAACUGCAACACUAAGAUAAGCUCCACUUUCAAACCGCAGCACUGAGACGACGGAGAGCUGCUGAGGAAAUGUGAGCGCUUUAUUGAUUCCAACAGGAUGAGUGAUUCCCCUUCCCACUGGAGCCGCUCUGCAAAUGGACCAGCUAACGAUUUAUGGGAGGAAUCGGGAUUCAAGUAGCUCUCACACAAACACGAGACAAUAACGGGGAAAUUAUCAAUAAAGACGUUCAUUUCUGAA